UCGCGUUGAAGGACGUGGCGUCAUGGAAAUUGUGAAAUUGUAGACCUUCUGAGGAAUGCAACGUUGAGCAUUCUGCAGAGGUCCAUGUCGCUAGGUUGCGAAACGAGACAAGUUUUUGCGAUUUAAUUGAAAUAAUAUUUCGGAGAUUCUAUGUGAAGAUCAUAUUCAACAGCUACAAAAAUGGCACAAAAUCAAAUCUUAACUCUCAAUCAGUAAAUAUUGGAAAACUACAGAGUUGCGGUGAUUGAAAACAUAACGGAAUUCUAGUUGACUGUUGAAAGUAAUGUGCAAAGAACGGCGAGACGUUUUUUUUAAACUUCAAAUGCAGAACAAUAAUUAGUAAAAACUUCAAACAAGGCAUUCUACAUAGCUUCCUAAGGAAAUUAGAAUGUUUUUUGAGUCGGGAGUGGGCGAUGACAAUGCUUUUAUUCGGAAGCAAAAGAUUGGUUUAUCGACUUACCGGCUCCCAGUAGUUGAACGUUUCAUCACAAUCA
Long non-coding RNA from Diachasmimorpha longicaudata, 494 nucleotides. RefSeq lists it as uncharacterized. The transcript has 4 exons. The record is from RefSeq and is a predicted model, not a curated record. Lineage: Eukaryota; Metazoa; Arthropoda; Insecta; Hymenoptera; Braconidae.